AACGAACGCUGGCGGCAUGCCUAACACAUGCAAGUCGAACGAGACCUUCGGGUCUAGUGGCGCACGGGUGCGUAACGCGUGGGAACCUGCCCUUAGGUUCGGAAUAACUCCCCCAAAGGGGUGCUAAUACCGGAUAAUGUCUUCGGACCAAAGAUUUAUCGCCUUUAGAUGGGCCCGCGUUGGAUUAGCUAGUUGGUAGGGUAAAAGCCUACCAAGGCGACGAUCCAUAGCUGGUCUGAGAGGAUGAUCAGCCACACUGGGACUGAGACACGGCCCAGACUCCUACGGGAGGCAGCAGUGGGGAAUAUUGGACAAUGGGCGAAAGCCUGAUCCAGCAAUGCCGCGUGAGUGAUGAAGGCCUUAGGGUUGUAAAGCUCUUUUACCCGGAAUGAUAAUGACAGUACCGGGAGAAUAAGCUCCGGCUAACUCCGUG
RNAcentral lists this ribosomal RNA (433 nucleotides) under uncultured bacterium. RNAcentral's name for it is "partial 16S ribosomal RNA". It matches the Rfam family "Bacterial small subunit ribosomal RNA", at positions 29 to 507 of the family's 1533-position model. The record is from RNAcentral.